This 151-nucleotide ribosomal RNA is filed under the name uncultured bacterium. RNAcentral's name for it is "partial 16S ribosomal RNA". It matches the Rfam family "Bacterial small subunit ribosomal RNA", at positions 356 to 504 of the family's 1533-position model. The record is from RNAcentral.
GAGGAAUAUUGGUCAAUGGGCGCUAGCCUGAACCAGCCAAGUAGCGUGAAGGAUGAAGGCUCUAUGGGUCGUAAACUUCUUUUAUAUAAGAAUAAAGUGCAGUAUGUAUACUGUUUUGUAUGUAUUAUAUGAAUAAGGAUCGGCUAACUCC